ACCUCAGUAGCUCAGUGGUAGAGCACCCGGAAGGGAAGGUCGUUGGGUUCGAACCCCACCUGAGGUA
Transfer RNA from Phytophthora megakarya, 67 nucleotides. It matches the Rfam family "tRNA". Rfam says of the family: Transfer RNA (tRNA) molecules are approximately 80 nucleotides in length. Their secondary structure includes four short double-helical elements and three loops (D, anti-codon, and T loops). Lineage: Eukaryota; Oomycota; Peronosporomycetes; Peronosporales; Peronosporaceae. The record is from Rfam.